RNAcentral lists this transfer RNA (75 nucleotides) under Gemmatimonadota bacterium. RNAcentral describes it as "tRNA-Ala". It matches the Rfam family "tRNA". From Rfam's summary of the family: Transfer RNA (tRNA) molecules are approximately 80 nucleotides in length. Their secondary structure includes four short double-helical elements and three loops (D, anti-codon, and T loops). The record is from RNAcentral. Lineage: Bacteria; Pseudomonadati; Gemmatimonadota.
GGGGGCGUAGCUCAGUUGGGAGAGCGCUUGAAUGGCAUUCAAGAGGUCAGCGGUUCGAUCCCGCUCGCCUCCACC